UACGGAGGAUGCAAGCGUUAUCCGGAUUUAUUGGGUUUAAAGGGUGCGUAGGCGGAAGCUUAAGCGUGAGGUGAAAUGCCACAGCUCAACUGUGGAGCUGCCUCGCGAACUGGGUUUAUGGAAUGCCCCUGCCGUGGGAGGAAUGUGUGGUGUAGCGGUGAAAUGCAUAGAGAUCACACAGAACACCGAUUGCGAAGGCAUCUCACGAAGGGGUGAUUGACGCCGAGGUACGAAAGCGUGGGGAUCAAAC
RNAcentral lists this ribosomal RNA (250 nucleotides) under uncultured prokaryote. RNAcentral's name for it is "partial 16S ribosomal RNA". It matches the Rfam family "Bacterial small subunit ribosomal RNA", at positions 524 to 773 of the family's 1533-position model. The record is from RNAcentral.